AGCACCAUGGCUUAGCUGGCUAAAGUGCCUGCCUUAUAAACAGGAAAUCCUGGGUUCAAAUCCCAGUGGUGCCU
RNAcentral lists this transfer RNA (74 nucleotides) under Pelodiscus sinensis (Chinese soft-shelled turtle). It matches the Rfam family "tRNA". From Rfam's summary of the family: Transfer RNA (tRNA) molecules are approximately 80 nucleotides in length. Lineage: Eukaryota; Metazoa; Chordata; Testudines; Trionychidae. The record is from Rfam by way of RNAcentral.